RNAcentral lists this ribosomal RNA (497 nucleotides) under uncultured bacterium. Its description in RNAcentral is "partial 16S ribosomal RNA". It matches the Rfam family "Bacterial small subunit ribosomal RNA", at positions 28 to 507 of the family's 1533-position model. The record is from RNAcentral.
GAUGAACGCUGGCGGCGUGCCUAAUACAUGCAAGUCGAGCGAACAGACGAGGAGCUUGCUCCUCUGACGUUAGCGGCGGACGGGUGAGUAACACGUGGAUAACCUACCUAUAAGACUGGGAUAACUUCGGGAAACCGGAGCUAAUACCGGAUAAUAUAUUGAACCGCAUGGUUCAAUAGUGAAAGACGGUUUUGCUGUCACUUAUAGAUGGAUCCGCGCCGCAUGAGCUAGUUGGGAAGGUAACGGCUUACCAAGGCAACGAUGCGUAGCCGACCUGAGAGGGUGAUCGGCCACACGGGAACUGAGACACGGUACAGACACCUACGGGAGGCAACAGUAGGGAAUCUUCCGCAAGGGGCGAAAGCCUGACGGAGCAACGCCGCGUGAGUGAUGAAGGUCUUCGGAUCGGAAAACUAUGUUAUUAGGGAAGAACAAAUGUGUAAGUAACUAUGCACGUCUUGACGGUACCUAAUCAGAAAGCCACGGCUAACUACGUG